GAUGAACGCUGGCGGCGUGCCUAACACAUGCAAGUCGAGCGAGAAGUCUUGGAACAAAUCUUCGGAAGAGUGAAGAGAUGGAAAGCGGCGGACGGGUGAGUAACGCGUAGGCAACCUGCCCCAUACAGAGGGACAGCCUUGGGAAACCGGGAUUAAUACCUCAUAAUGCAUCUACACUGCCUGGUGUGGAUGCCAAAGAUUUAUCGGUAUGGGAUGGGCCUGCGUCUGAUUAGCUGGUUGGCGGGGUAACGGCCCACCAAGGCAACGAUCAGUAGCCGACCUGAGAGGGUGAUCGGCCACAUUGGAACUGAGACACGGUCCAAUCUCCUACGGGAGGCAGCAGUGGGGAAUAUUGCACAAUGGGCGCAAGCCUGAUGCAGCAACGCCGCGUGAGCGAAGAAGGCCUUUGGGUCGUAAACCUCUGUCAGGAGGGAAGAAGUGCAUUUGUGCUAAUCAGCGAAUGUUUGACGGUACCUCCAAAGGAAGCACCGGCUAACUCCGUGCCAGCCGCCGCGGUAAUAC
RNAcentral lists this ribosomal RNA (522 nucleotides) under uncultured bacterium. RNAcentral's name for it is "bacterial SSU rRNA". It matches the Rfam family "Bacterial small subunit ribosomal RNA", at positions 28 to 526 of the family's 1533-position model. The record is from RNAcentral.